GAUUAAUCCUCCAAUCUUCCACGACUAACAUAGAAGGCAAUAGAAGAACAAAUUGUUGAAGCAGAAAUCAUCUUUUGUUGGAUGUCGUUUGUCAACAAAACUAGUAUUUCUAGAUCUAAUACGUGCACAAGGCCUGACUUCACGGAAGCGCUGUCUUUAUUAGAUAAAAGAUCGAUGCAGGGCUUGCUCUGGUGUUUGAUGAAUCAUGAUAACUCAACGAAUCGCACGGCCUUAGCAUUGACGAUGUUUCAUUCAAAUUUCUGCCCUAUCAACUUUAGACGGUAGAAUAGAGGUCUGCCGUGGUGGUAACGGAUGACGGAAAAUUAGAGUUUGAUUCUCAAGAGGUAGCCUGAGAAACAGCUACCACAUCCAAGGCAGCAAGCACGCAAAUUACCCAACCUUGAGAGGGCGAGGUAGUGAUAAUAAAUAACAAUACUGGGCUUUUACAAAUCUGAUAAUUGGAUUGAGUACAAUCUAAAUUCCUUUACGAGAAUCCAUUGAAGGGCAAGUCUGGUGCCAGCAGCCGUGGUAUUUUCAGCUUUAAUAGUGUAUAUUUAAGUUGUUCCAGUUAAAAAGCGUGUAGUUGGAUCUUGAAAGAAGGUGAGCAGUACCUUUUGAUGUGCACUGGCGGCCCCUUUCUUUUUGGCCGGGGACGCGCAUCUGGCCUUCACUAGUCGGGCCGCGGAGUCAGCGAUGUUACUUGGAAAAAAUUAUAGUGCUCAAAAUAAGCCAUAUGCUAGGAAUACAUUAGCAUGAAAUAACGCGAUAGUACUUUGAUCUUAUUGCUUUGGUUCAAUCAUUACUCCGGUCUUAUUGGAACUAGAGUAAUGAUUGAUAGGGUUAGUUGUUGGAGACAUUUGUAUUUCAUGGUCAGAGAUGAAAUUCUUGGAUUCAUGAAAGAUAAACUUCUGCGAAAGCAUUUGCCAAGGUUUUUUCAUUAAUCAAGAACAAAAGUUGGGGGCUCGAAGACGAUCAGAUACCGUCAUAGUCUCAACCAUAAAUGAUGCCGACUAGGUAUCAGUGGUUUGUCAACAAAAUUGUCACUACCUCGUUGUAAGUGAUGUUUUCUUUGUCUCGAUGAAGC
Molecule: non-coding RNA, 1084 nt
Filed under: Marchantia polymorpha subsp. ruderalis
Lineage: Eukaryota; Viridiplantae; Streptophyta; Marchantiopsida; Marchantiales; Marchantiaceae
Description: Eukaryotic small subunit ribosomal RNA
Rfam family: Eukaryotic small subunit ribosomal RNA
Source: Rfam by way of RNAcentral